CAGGAUGAACGCUGGCGGCGUGCCUAAUACAUGCAAGUCGAGCGAGAAUCAGUGAUGUAGAGAUUCGUCAAAGCGGAUCUGAGGAAAGCGGCGGACGGGUGAGUAACGCGUAGGCAACCUGCCCUUAGCAGAGGGAUAGCCAUUGGAAACGAUGAUUAAAACCUCAUAAUGCUGUUUUUUACACAUGUAGAGACAGCCAAAGAUUUUAUCGGCUAAGGAUGGGCCUGCGUCUGAUUAACUAGUUGGUGAGGUAACGGCCCACCAAGGUGACCGAUCAGUAGCCGACCUGAGAGGGUGAUCGGCCACAUUGGAACUGAGACACGGUCCAAACUUCUACGGAAGGCAGCAGUAAGGAAUCUUGCACAAUGGGGAAACCCUGAUGCAGCAACGCCGCGUGAACGAUGAAGGCCUUAGGGUUGUAAAGUUCUGAUCUGUGGGAAGAAGAAGUGACGGUACCACAGGAGAAAGCCCCGGCUAAAUACGUGCCAGCCGCAGC
RNAcentral lists this ribosomal RNA (496 nucleotides) under uncultured bacterium. RNAcentral describes it as "bacterial SSU rRNA". It matches the Rfam family "Bacterial small subunit ribosomal RNA", at positions 25 to 518 of the family's 1533-position model. The record is from RNAcentral.